RNAcentral lists this ribosomal RNA (489 nucleotides) under uncultured Eubacteriales bacterium. RNAcentral's name for it is "bacterial SSU rRNA". It matches the Rfam family "Bacterial small subunit ribosomal RNA", at positions 32 to 523 of the family's 1533-position model. The record is from RNAcentral. Lineage: Bacteria; Bacillati; Bacillota; Clostridia; Eubacteriales.
AACGCUGGCGGCGUGCGUAACACAUGCAAGUCGAACGAGAAUGUACUGACAGAUCCUUAGGGUGAAAAUAGUACAGGACAGUGGCGGAUGGGUGAGUAACGCGUAAGAAACCUGCCUUUCACACCGGGAUAGCAGCUGGAAACGGCUAUUAAUACCGGAUGACACUUUUUCCCCGCAUGAGGAAGAGGUUAAAGAAUUUCGGUGAAAGAUGGUCUUGCGUCUGAUUAGCUAGUUGGUGGGGUAACGGCCUACCAAGGCGACGAUCAGUAGCCGGCCUGAGAGGGUGUACGGCCACAUUGGGACUGAGACACGGCCCAAACUCCUACGGGAGGCAGCAGUGGGGAAUUUUGCACAAUGGAGGAAACUCUGAUGCAGCGACGCCGCGUGAACGAAGAAGGUCUUCGGAUUGUAAAGUUCUGUCCUGGGUGAAGAUAAUGACGGUAACUCAGGAGGAAGCCCCGGCUAACUACGUGCCAGCAGCCGCGGUAA